This 253-nucleotide ribosomal RNA is filed under the name uncultured bacterium. RNAcentral describes it as "partial 16S ribosomal RNA". It matches the Rfam family "Bacterial small subunit ribosomal RNA", at positions 524 to 776 of the family's 1533-position model. The record is from RNAcentral.
UACGUAGGGGGCAAGCGUUGUCCGGAUUUAUUGGGCGUAAAGAGCGUGUAGGCGGCCAGAUAGGUCCGUUGUGAAAACUGGAGGCUUAACCUCCAGCUGUCGAUGGAAACCACCUGGCUAGAGUCCGGAAGAGGAGAGUGGAAUUCCCGGUGUAGCGGUGAAAUGCGCAGAUAUCAGGAAGAACACCCGUGGCGAAGGCGGCUCUCUGGGACGGUACUGACGCUGAGACGCGAAAGCGUGGGGAGCGAACAGG